GGAAUAUAAGAACUCGUCUCUUAACUUUUAACUAAAAAAACUAAGAACCGACUCUUAAAUAAGAUCUUUAAGAACCGGUUCUUAGCUUUUUUAGUUAAAAGUUAAGAAACCGAUUCUUAUAUUCC
Non-coding RNA from Brassica napus (rape), 125 nucleotides. Lineage: Eukaryota; Viridiplantae; Streptophyta; Magnoliopsida; Brassicales; Brassicaceae. The record is from Rfam.